Molecule: long non-coding RNA, 572 nt
Filed under: Pan troglodytes (chimpanzee)
Lineage: Eukaryota; Metazoa; Chordata; Mammalia; Primates; Hominidae
Description: lincRNA
Source: RNAcentral
AUUGCAGGCUGAAGAGGACUGGCCUUUCAGUGGCCCUCGUGGAGCAGUAGGAAGCUGAGCUGGACUCUCUGCCACAUCGUUCGGUUCCCACAACAGCCUGAAAUGGGGUCUUGCCUUGUUGCCCAGGCUGGAGUGCAGCAACGUGAUCAUAGUUUACUGUAGCCUGGGCUCAACUCCUGGGCUCCAGUGAUCCUCCCGCCUCAGCCUCACAAGUAGCUGGGACCAUAGAUGAAGCAGCAGCAGAAAAAAUGGAAGCCAUUUUGGUUAACGGGUCACAUCUUAGCAGCUGGCAGUGUAAGAAGCGGAAGGAUCCACUGGUCAGAAACGGAGAUUGAGGAGAAGCUGAGAGCACGGAGGGCUUCAGGGGAGAGCCCGUCCUUUGGAAAAGCGGGCAGUUUGCACUCGUGGUAGAUGAGUGGGGAGGCCGCUGAGUCUCUCUGCCCCUUUGCACAUGCUGCACCCGUUUAGUUUGACGUCGUGGAGAGCUCCUCCAGGCACGGGCUGUGUGAAAGGGUUUAAAAGUUUGGGGGCAUGGCUGGGGGUCCCCGCAUGAGGGGUGCUGUGUAGGCUCC